Molecule: ribosomal RNA, 617 nt
Filed under: uncultured bacterium
Lineage: Bacteria
Description: bacterial SSU rRNA
Rfam family: Bacterial small subunit ribosomal RNA
Source: RNAcentral
CGAUCGCAAGGUUGAAACUCAAAGGAAUUGACGGGGGCCCGCACAAGCGGUGGAUUAUGUGGUUUAAUUCGAAGCAACGCGAAGAACCUUACCAGGGCUUGACAUCCUGCUAACGAGGUAGAGAUACGUCAGGUGCCCUUCGGGGAAAGCAGAGACAGGUGGUGCAUGGUUGUCGUCAGCUCGUGUCGUGAGAUGUUGGGUUAAGUCCCGCAACGAGCGCAACCCUUAUUGUUAGUUGCUACGCAAGAGCACUCUAGCGAGACUGCCGUUGACAAAACGGAGGAAGGUGGGGACGACGUCAAAUCAUCAUGCCCCUUAUGUCCUGGGCUACACACGUAAUACAAUGGCGGUCAACAGAGGGAUGCAAUACCGUGAGGUGGAGCGAACCCCUAAAAGCCGUCCCAGUUCAGAUCGCAGUCUGCAACUCGACUGCGUGAAGUCGGAAUCGCUAGUAAUCGCGGAUCAGCAUGCCGCGGUGAAUACGUUCCCGGGCCUUGUACACACCGCCCGUCACACCAUGAGAGUCGGGAACACCCGAAGUCCGUAGCCUAACCGCAAGGGGGGCGCGGCCGAAGGUGGGUUCGAUAAUUGGGGUGAAGUCGUAACAAGGUAGCCGU